GAUUAAAUGAUAAUAAUAUACCUAAUCCUUCGUACACGACCUAAAAACACUUUCAUUUAUGAAUAAAUAUAAAAAAAAAUGUCGCAUUUUUAUAUAGUAACACCACUGACCCUUCAGUAACUCCAAUGACACAAAAGUAUCACCAAUGACAUCACAUUUCAAAUUUUACCUUUAUCAAGUACUGAACACAAAGUCAAGAUCACCGAGCAAAAGAAAAAGAUGAAAAAUAAUUCUUAGGCUAAAAAAUCUCAAAUUAUAUAACAUAACAUCCAUUGCUAAAAAUGUCAAUAGUGUUACUAAAUAGUGUCAUUGGUGUUACCAGC
Molecule: long non-coding RNA, 323 nt
Filed under: Mytilus galloprovincialis (Mediterranean mussel)
Lineage: Eukaryota; Metazoa; Mollusca; Bivalvia; Mytilida; Mytilidae
Source: RNAcentral